RNAcentral lists this ribosomal RNA (253 nucleotides) under uncultured bacterium. Its description in RNAcentral is "partial 16S ribosomal RNA". It matches the Rfam family "Bacterial small subunit ribosomal RNA", at positions 524 to 776 of the family's 1533-position model. The record is from RNAcentral.
UACGUAGGCAGCGAGCGUUGUUCGGAAUUACUGGGCGUAAAGAGUGUGUAGGCGGUGCUCCCAGUCUGUUGUGAAAUCUCCCGGCUUAACUGGGAGGGUGCAGCGGAAACUAGAGUGCUAGAGGGUGGGAGAGGUAAGCGGAAUUCCUGGUGUAGCGGUGAAAUGCGUAGAUAUCCGGAGGAACACCAAAGGCGAAGGCAGUGUCCUGGGGAGUACCUGACGCUCAGGUGCGAAAGCCAGGGGAGCGAACGGG